CGGAGCAGCGCCGCGUGCAGGAGGAAGGCCUUCGGGUUGUAAACUGCUUUUAACGGGGACGAUUUUGACGGUACCCGUAGAAUAAGGAUCGGCUAAUUCCGUGC
Molecule: ribosomal RNA, 104 nt
Filed under: uncultured bacterium
Lineage: Bacteria
Description: partial 16S ribosomal RNA
Rfam family: Bacterial small subunit ribosomal RNA
Source: RNAcentral